RNAcentral lists this ribosomal RNA (677 nucleotides) under uncultured bacterium. Its description in RNAcentral is "bacterial SSU rRNA". It matches the Rfam family "Bacterial small subunit ribosomal RNA", at positions 8 to 719 of the family's 1533-position model. The record is from RNAcentral.
AGAGUUUGAUCCUGGCUCAGAAUGAACGCUGGCGGCAGGCUUAACACAUGCAAGUCGAACGAUUAAAGCCCCUUCGGGGGUGUAUAAAGUGGCAAACGGGUGAGUAACACGUGGGAAUGUACCUUUUGGUCUGGAAUAGCCCUUGGAAACGAGGAUUAAUGCCGGAUAUGCUCUACGGAGGAAAGAUUUAUCGCCAAAAGAUCAGCCCGCGCAACAUUAGCUAGUUGGUAGGGUAAUGGCCUACCAAGGCUGCGAUGUUUAGUUGGUCUGAGAGGAUGAUCAGCCACACUGGGACUGAGAUACGGCCCAGACUCCUACGGGAGGCAGCAGUGAGGAAUAUUGCGCAAUGGAGGAAACUCUGACGCAGCCAUGCCGCGUGUGUGAUGAAGGCCUUAGGGUUGUAAAACACUUUAAGCAGGGAAGAUAAUGACGGUACCUGCAGAAUAAGCCCCGGCUAACUCCGUGCCAGCAGCCGCGGUAAUACGGAGGGGGCUAGCGUUAUUCGGAAUUACUGGGCGUAAAGCGCGCGUAGGCGGAUUGGAAAGUCAGAGGUGAAAUCCCAGGGCUCAACCCCGGAACUGCCUUUGAAACUAUCAAUCUAGUAUUCGGUAGAGGUAAGUGGAAUUCCUAGUGUAGCGGUGAAAUGCGUAGAUAUUAGGAGGAACACCAGUGGCGAA